AUUAUCGAGUAAUCGAGCGGAAGAAAUUCCGUUAGGAAAGUCCAUGCUAGCACAGGCUGAGAUGCCUGUAGUGUUUGUGCUAAACGAACAAAUAAGUUUAGGCACUCAAAUAUUUUGAGUGACGGCGAAGAAAUGGAUGUUAAAGGCCAAAGUAUUCUUAAGGUGCAACAGUGACGAUACACAGAAUAAUAUCUGUGGGUGAAACGGGUAAACCCCUCAAGCUAGAAACCCAAAUUAUGGUAGGGGCAUGGUUAAAGGAGAAAUGAAUCCAUUUAACUGACAACUAUUUAGUUGUAGAUAAAUGAUUACUGAUUUCUAAUUUUAGAAAUUACAGAACAUGGCUUAUAGAU
Molecule: RNase P RNA, 350 nt
Filed under: Candidatus Izemoplasmatales bacterium
Lineage: Bacteria; Bacillati; Mycoplasmatota; Mollicutes; Candidatus Izemoplasmatales
Description: RNase P RNA component class B
Rfam family: Bacterial RNase P class B
About the family: Ribonuclease P (RNase P) is a ubiquitous endoribonuclease, found in archaea, bacteria and eukarya as well as chloroplasts and mitochondria. Its best characterised activity is the generation of mature 5'-ends of tRNAs by cleaving the 5'-leader elements of precursor-tRNAs.
Source: RNAcentral